Molecule: transfer RNA, 81 nt
Filed under: Ilyonectria destructans
Lineage: Eukaryota; Fungi; Ascomycota; Sordariomycetes; Hypocreales; Nectriaceae
Description: tRNA-Leu
Rfam family: tRNA
About the family: Transfer RNA (tRNA) molecules are approximately 80 nucleotides in length.
Source: RNAcentral
GCAGGCGUGUUGGAAUCGUAGACAAGUUUGUUUUAGGUACAAAUAGCUAACGCUGUGUAGGUUCAAGUCCUACCGCCUGUA